This 73-nucleotide transfer RNA is filed under the name uncultured bacterium W5-77b. Its description in RNAcentral is "tRNA-Ala". It matches the Rfam family "tRNA". Rfam says of the family: Transfer RNA (tRNA) molecules are approximately 80 nucleotides in length. The record is from RNAcentral.
GGGGGUUUAGCUCAGUUGGUAGAGCAUCUGAUUUGCAUUCAGAAGGUCAGGAGUUCGAUUCUCCUAGCCUCCA